GAGGGAUUGGUGUAGUGGUAACAUGACGGUCUUCGGAACCGCAGUCGGGGGUUCAAUCCCCUCAUCCCUCG
This 71-nucleotide transfer RNA is filed under the name candidate division SR1 bacterium RAAC1_SR1_1. RNAcentral describes it as "tRNA-Arg (TCG) (tRNA-Arg-TCG-1-1)". It matches the Rfam family "tRNA". Rfam says of the family: Transfer RNA (tRNA) molecules are approximately 80 nucleotides in length. Their secondary structure includes four short double-helical elements and three loops (D, anti-codon, and T loops). The record is from Rfam by way of RNAcentral. RNAcentral also lists the same sequence under 2 other names. Lineage: Bacteria; Candidatus Absconditibacteriota.